GUGGGUGGGGAGGACAGAGCUCCUAGAGGUGGUUCCUGAGGAAUUGAUUAAUGAGGAGUUAUUGGAACUGAACAGGAACACAUAGCUGAAGAAGAAGCAAGAGAACAGGAAACUUCAGGAAAAGAAAAAAAGAAGAAUCCGUAAGAAAAUUCACAGUGGAGGAGAUUUUAGCAGAAGCUUUUGCAGACCUCAACAAGAUCCUUAAAAAAUUAGAAAACAUGGACCCCCUCACCCCAAC
Molecule: long non-coding RNA, 238 nt
Organism: Myotis davidii
Lineage: Eukaryota; Metazoa; Chordata; Mammalia; Chiroptera; Vespertilionidae
Exons: 3
Source: RefSeq, a predicted model, not a curated record